Molecule: long non-coding RNA, 109 nt
Organism: Vigna unguiculata (cowpea)
Lineage: Eukaryota; Viridiplantae; Streptophyta; Magnoliopsida; Fabales; Fabaceae
Source: RefSeq, a predicted model, not a curated record
AUUGAUGAAGAAAAUAUUAGAAAGAACGUAAAAGUUUCUUCUUCUCCAUUCCAAGUUGAAGAAGAUCAAUCAGGGAAAUAUGGAAGAUUGAAGCUGUAAGAUUUUCCAA